Helianthus annuus (common sunflower) is the source of this 1932-nucleotide long non-coding RNA. RefSeq lists it as uncharacterized. The record is from RefSeq and is a predicted model, not a curated record. The transcript is spliced from 8 exons. Lineage: Eukaryota; Viridiplantae; Streptophyta; Magnoliopsida; Asterales; Asteraceae.
CUUUUCCUUUAUUCUCCGCUCUUUUUCUAUUCUCUCACACAAUGCAUCUUAUUUCCUCUUCCUUCGGUCGUACGAUUCAAACCCUAAAAAUCAGAUGGAUGCUUCCCUUCAACGAUUCCAUUGAGAAAACCCUAAAAUCUUCCAUACGUUUUUGGCUUUUCACAUACGCUUGGUCAUAACCCUCUCUCUCAUCCUCUCAAAAUCAUUCAAACGGCGAAUCCUCUCCUGCGAAACCCUAAUCGGCGAUUCCUGUCCUCACGGAGAGCAGCAAUAACAACCUCUGCAGAUCUCCUUAUAUCUUUCACGUAGCGAACCCUAUCAUUCAUCAUUCUCCCAAUCGUUCUGAUCUUCUACUGGUAACUAACAUUUUUCAUGCUUGCUUUUAUCGUGUUUUACCCUACUUUUGCUUUGAUUUUAUGUUUGUAAACAAAUAUUCCAGAUUUUUUUGUGUAUCGGAACAAUUAGGGCUUUCGAAUCUGAUCAGUUUAACUCGAUCAUCGAGUGUUUGUUUGAUGUAACGAUUUGGGUUUUUUUUUUCUUGCUAAAUUGAUGUUAAAAACAUGUCAAUUCGGGUUGAUUUGGUGAAACUGAUUGGGAGCAGCAGUCGGUUAGGGUUAGAAGGGGGUGUUGAUGGUCGAUUAUGGGUGCAAGGGGGAGUAGUUCAACGAUGUUGGUUGUGGUGGUUUCGCAGCGGUGAAGAUGAGUGGAGGCGGUGGUUGGCUGCACGGAUCUGGUAGUAGAUGGGUUAUAGGUGGGUGUGGUAUUCGUGCCAUUAGCAAAAGAGAUUUAAAAACAAAACUGAUGAUGCAACAAUAUCUUUACGAGAUUUGAUUAAAAUUUGAUUUACUAAGUGGAAUUCCCCUGUCGAAGGUUGAAGACAUGGAUCAUGGAGGAACUAUGUUUCCCUAUACAUGUAUCCAUACCGAUCUGGCCCAUUGAAAGACAUUUAUAUUUUUGAGAUGGCAAUGGAUUCAAAACAAUCACUAUGCGGUUAGGAGGGGAUGUGAUUGUUGAUGUGAUUGUUUUCAGCCGUACAUAUUGGAACAAAAUGGGCAUAUUUUGCGGGUUGGGGAACGAGCCAAAAUGAAUUGAGGGUCAAAGGGUAUAUUUCUAUGUGCAAGUCAAAGGAAAUUGGUUUGGGCUGGUCAUCCCUGCCCAUACUUUUAUGAAUUCAUGGUGUCUUUUUGGCUUUUAGAAUCCAGACUACAGAGCAUAGUGUACCUUCACCAAUUCAGAUGGAUGCUAUACAUAUAGUUGCCAAGUUGAGAAGAUUUUGAUUUGGAAGGCUUCUAAUAUGCCCAUUUACUGUUGCAGGGUUACAUUGCUUGACGGGACUUUUAAGGAGGGGAGAAGUGGGAAACAACUACUUUCGGUACAACGACAGAGUUAUCGAAGAGUUUUGCUUCAAAUGCUUUGAUUUCUCACAUUCGGUGGCGUAUGCAUGAAUUCUGGAGCAUAAGUGAUGGAAAAGUCUCUUUUGCGUCAUGGGCAAAGUUCUAUUUGACAGGCAGUUGUUUUUCUGUUUUUAAUUUGGACCCUUUCUUGAUAGGUGAGGUUCGUGUAUGAAUCAUUCAAGAAACUGCGUCCUGGGAUCCCUUUAAAAUGCCUGCAUGGAAGGAUGAAACAAGUGAAAGGAUGUUCAUAUUGCAACAAAGAUCAGUUCUUUUUUAUUGUAGUUUAAUUUCGGGUGAUUGUUCUCGACAAAAGAUUUCAAAUCUAUUUUUUCAUCCUUUUAUUUUCUUUCUUUAAUUUUUAUGGUUGAACAACAAAAAAUAUGAUACUACAUGUCAUGUAAAGAAUUCCGACGUUGGGGGGCAAAAAAUGACAUGCAAACAUCACCAUGAAGUUAGCCAACCAAGUUAGCUGUUUUUUUUUUUUGUAUAUACGCUGAUUUUGUAACUUGUGAGCUAAAUUAAUAUGGAUUUUGUGAUA